This 253-nucleotide ribosomal RNA is filed under the name uncultured bacterium. RNAcentral describes it as "partial 16S ribosomal RNA". It matches the Rfam family "Bacterial small subunit ribosomal RNA", at positions 524 to 776 of the family's 1533-position model. The record is from RNAcentral.
UACAGAGGUCCCAAGCGUUGUUCGGAUUCAUUGGGCGUAAAGGGUGCGUAGGCGGCGUCGUAAGUCUGGUGUGAAAUCUCGGGGCUUAACUCCGAAACUGCAUUCGAUACUGCUGUGCUUGAGGACUGGAGAGGAGACUGGAAUUUACGGUGUAGCAGUGAAAUGCGUAGAGAUCGUGAGGAAGACCAGUGGCGAAGGCGGGUCUCUGGACAGUUCCUGACACUGAGGCACGAAGGCCAGGGGAGCAAACGGG